This 69-nucleotide transfer RNA is filed under the name Anolis valencienni. RNAcentral's name for it is "tRNA-Ala". It matches the Rfam family "tRNA". Rfam says of the family: Transfer RNA (tRNA) molecules are approximately 80 nucleotides in length. Their secondary structure includes four short double-helical elements and three loops (D, anti-codon, and T loops). Further hydrogen bonds mediate the characteristic L-shaped molecular structure. tRNAs have two regions of fundamental functional importance: the anti-codon, which is responsible for specific mRNA codon recognition, and the 3' end, to which the tRNAs corresponding amino acid is attached (by aminoacyl-tRNA synthetases). tRNAs cope with the degeneracy of the genetic code in two manners: having more than one tRNA (with a specific anti-codon) for a particular amino acid; and 'wobble' base-pairing, i.e. permitting non-standard base-pairing at the 3rd anti-codon position. The record is from RNAcentral. Lineage: Eukaryota; Metazoa; Chordata; Lepidosauria; Squamata; Anolidae.
AAGGCUUUAGCUUAAUAAAAGUGUUUGAGUUGCAUUCAGAAGAUAUAGAAUAGACAUCUAUAAGUCUUA